CGGGACGGGUGAGUAAUGUCUGGGAAACUGCCCGAUGGAGGGGGAUAACUACUGGAAACGGUAGCUAAUACCGCAUAACGUCGCAAGACCAAAGAGGGGGACCUUCGGGCCUCUCGCCAUCGGAUGUGCCCAGAUGGGAUUAGCUAGUAGGUGGGGUAAUGGCUCACCUAGGCGACGAUCCCUAGCUGGUCUGAGAGGAUGACCAGCCACACUGGAACUGAGACACGGUCCAG
RNAcentral lists this ribosomal RNA (233 nucleotides) under uncultured bacterium. RNAcentral's name for it is "partial 16S ribosomal RNA". It matches the Rfam family "Bacterial small subunit ribosomal RNA", at positions 100 to 334 of the family's 1533-position model. The record is from RNAcentral.